AAGGAUAACUAAAGAGAGUGGGACCGCUCAGGAAUAAAAGAGGUUAACUGUGUGGAGCCACAGUGGAUGGGAAAGGUCCUCAAUGAGUAUUUCCCCUCUGUUUUUACCGUGGAGUAAGACAGGAGAUCUUGAGUUAGUCACUGUAAUUGUCUUGAGACCACUCAGUAUUACAGUCAAAGAGGUGCUGACACGUAUGAAGAUAGACAAAUCUCCUGGGCCUGAUCAGAUAUACCCGAGGACACUGGGAAGCAAAAGAGGAAAUUGCAGGAGCCCUCGCACAGAUUUAUGAGUUGUUAAAUACAGGUGAGGUGCCGGAAGACUGGUAGGAGGGAAAUA
Long non-coding RNA from Amblyraja radiata (thorny skate), 336 nucleotides. RefSeq lists it as uncharacterized. NCBI's taxonomy places the organism in Eukaryota, Metazoa, Chordata, Chondrichthyes, Rajiformes, Rajidae. The transcript is spliced from 3 exons. The record is from RefSeq and is a predicted model, not a curated record.